Molecule: unclassified non-coding RNA, 334 nt
Filed under: soil metagenome
Description: partial contains 5.8S ribosomal RNA, internal transcribed spacer 2, and large subunit ribosomal RNA
Rfam family: 5.8S ribosomal RNA (bases 1-120)
Source: RNAcentral
GAUGAAGAACGUAGCGAAAUGCGAUACGUAAUGUGAAUUGCAGAAUUCAGUGAAUCAUCGAAUCUUUGAACGCACAUUGCGCCUGCCAGCACUCUGGCAGGCAUGCCUGUUCGAGCGUCAUUUCAACCAUCAAGCCCUAGGCUUGCGUUGGAGCCCUGCGGCUGCCGCAGGCCCCUAAAAGCAGUAGCGGGCUCGCUAUCACACCGAGUGCAGUAGAUUACUCUUCGCUCAGGGCGUGUGGCGGGUUCCAGCCGUGAAACCCCCUACUUCUCAAGGUUGACCUCGGAUCAGGUAGGAAUACCCGCUGAACUUAAGCAUAUCAAUAAGCGGAGGA